Non-coding RNA from Amborella trichopoda, 1357 nucleotides. The record is from RefSeq and is a predicted model, not a curated record. NCBI's taxonomy places the organism in Eukaryota, Viridiplantae, Streptophyta, Magnoliopsida, Amborellales, Amborellaceae.
UCAAUAAUGUAUGGUCAAACCGUCAAAAGUGGGUAAGAAGAUAGAAAAGAUAGAAACUUUACGUUACAAGAAAGUUUAAAUUCCUAAAUCUUAAGUGAAAUUGAAGUAAAAAAAUAAAGGUUCUAAAAUUGAAGUAAACAAAAUAAGAUGUAAAGAGAUAAAAAAAAAAAGGGUUCUAUAAUUGAAGUAAACAAAAUAAGGUGUAAAAAGAUAUUUCCUAUACUUAUCUUGGAGCUUUCCCUCUCACUCCCUCCUAAUAUGUUUCUCUAUUUGAUAUUCAUAUUUUUUAUUCUUUAUAGGAAAAUGAUCUUUUUAUAUAUGUAGAAUCCCAAAGCAUCGUCACUAAAAAAAAAUUGAGAUUGAUCAUGCGUAUGAUCCCAAAGCAUCAUCAUUCAAAAUUGAGAUUGAUUCAUAGAAAAGUCAAGUUUCAACCUGAUCAUUACUCUUUUUUUAUGGGAUUUUUCUUUGUUAUCAAAUCUCUCUCUCUUAUCAUUUUGCCUCUGGAGCCAUCCUCUCAAAGAGGUCGCUGGGGAAUAUUCGUGGCUCGGAGUUUGAGUCAGACUUCGACGAGAUUCAUGAGACAGACGACAAGCUUGACAACCUCUGUAACGCAUGACAAUACGUUGAGAAGAAGAUGGUGAAGGAUGAGUUCUUCAACAUGAACUCUGAGAAAUGGGAUCAGAAGAUUAAGGAAGGCCAGGAAAAAGGAUUCCUCUAAGACCCUGGCAAAUGCAAAGAAACCCUUGAGGACAUUCUCAAUUGGCACAUGCUUCUCCCUGUUGCAGGACAACAUACCUUGAAUUGAAUCUAGCCUGCUUUGUCAAGUACAUGCAAGCUCCUCCUUUUAUUUGUUAUCUCCACAUGACCAGGAAGAUUGUUUGGUCUUUUCUCUUUAUCCCUACAGAUAUUCAAAUGGAAAUUAAGAGGACACUUGAUUCGGUGAAGAUGCGGCUCGAUGCGUUGGGAGGGCCGAUGUGGCGAUUCAACUCGAUGCGGUCCGGAUGCUGGUGCAUCACUGCGAUGCUAAUCAUAGAAGUUAUCUUGAGAGUCUCCAAGUCCAUCAUCAUCACUAUCAGCCUCAGCAGCCUCCACGUAUUCAUUAAAUUUUGUUUACUUUUGCCUAUAAGGAGUUUUAUACAGGGUCUCAAAUCUUGGAAACUUAGGUUGGUCAUGAGAAAAUAAAUCUUUCAUUAAUAAUCAUUUCCAUUAAUCCAAGGUGGCAACCAGUGUUCUCAAAAUCGAAUCGGAAUGGUUAAUGGGCCCGGAAGUAGUUUAACUGACUUAACCGGUAAACCGGCCAAUUCAACCAUUCUAACCGGCCAAGUCCCAGGCGGUCAAAAAAGUGUUGAAAAAAUAA